UACGGAGGGGGCAAGCGUUAUUCGGAAUUAUUGGGCGUAAAGGGCGCGUAGGCGGCUAGAUGUGUCAAAGGUGAAAUCCCUCGGCUCAACUGAGGAACUGCCUUUGAAACUGUCUGGCUUGAGGCCGGGAGAGGGUAGCGGAAUUCCCAGUGUAGCGGUGAAAUGCGUAGAUAUUGGGAGGAACACCAGUGGCGAAGGCGACUGCCUGGACCAGCACUGACACUGAGGCACGAAAGCGUGGGGAGCAAACAGG
RNAcentral lists this ribosomal RNA (253 nucleotides) under uncultured bacterium. RNAcentral describes it as "partial 16S ribosomal RNA". It matches the Rfam family "Bacterial small subunit ribosomal RNA", at positions 524 to 776 of the family's 1533-position model. The record is from RNAcentral.